GUUGACGGGACCGCACAAGCAGCGGAGCGUGUGGUUAAUUCGAUGCUACACGAAGAACUUACCAGGUUUGACAUGCAAGUGGUAGGAAUCUGAAAAGGGACCGACCUUCGGGGAGCUUGCACAGGUGCUGCAUGGCUGUCGUCAGCUCGUGUCGUGAGAUGUUGGGUUAAGUCCCGCAACGAGCGCAACCCUUAUCCCCAGUUGCCAUCAGGUAAAGCUGGGAACUCUGGGGAGACUGCCGGUGAUAAACCGGAGGAAGGCGGGGAUGACGUCAAGUCCUCAUGGCCCUUACAUCCCGGGCUACACACGUGCUACAAUGGCAGGUACAGAGGGCUGCGAAGCCGCGAGGUGGAGCGAAUCCCAGAAAACCUGUCUCAGUCCGGAUUGAAGUCUGCAACUCGACUUCAUGAAGGCGGAAUCGCUAGUAACCGCGAAUCAGCAGGUCGCGGUGAAUACGUUCCCGGGCCUU
Molecule: ribosomal RNA, 469 nt
Filed under: uncultured Latescibacterota bacterium
Lineage: Bacteria; Pseudomonadati; Candidatus Latescibacterota
Description: bacterial SSU rRNA
Rfam family: Bacterial small subunit ribosomal RNA
Source: RNAcentral